AAUAUAAUAGUACCAAUAACAAAACACUACGUUGAAUGACGAAAAAAUGUAUUGACAAUUGACAAGAGAACAGGGACCGGUCUAUGACUUCUGUCAAACGUACAGAGAGUUUGACAAUUGACAUUUGUUUUGCUUGCGCGACCAAACUUGAAUAAAGAUACAACGAAAUCGAAACACACAAAAACUCUUUUAUCCCGUUACAAUUUGUGAUGUGAGACUUCAAGAGAUCCAUGAGAAAUAUGGAGUUUAAAUUCAUCGAUAUUAUUGUGACUAUAUUAAUAAAUUUCGUGUCUUGUGCAUACACGGAUCAUAUCCUGUCCUGCAACAUAAACCAGAUACCUAGCUGCCCGGGGAAUUAUCAAGUUUGUAACGAAACAAUACUUCAAUGUUAUUGCAUUGAAAGGUAUGUUAUGAGUGGAGGUGAUUGUGUGGAGGAAGCUGAUGCAGGAUCAAGCCACGACGCCACAGCGGCUG
Molecule: long non-coding RNA, 474 nt
Organism: Melitaea cinxia (Glanville fritillary)
Lineage: Eukaryota; Metazoa; Arthropoda; Insecta; Lepidoptera; Nymphalidae
Exons: 2
Source: RefSeq, a predicted model, not a curated record